This 257-nucleotide ribosomal RNA is filed under the name uncultured bacterium. RNAcentral's name for it is "partial 16S ribosomal RNA". It matches the Rfam family "Bacterial small subunit ribosomal RNA", at positions 333 to 582 of the family's 1533-position model. The record is from RNAcentral.
CGUACCCUACGGGGCGCAGCAGUGGGGAAUAUUGCGCAAUGGGCGAAAGCCUGACGCAGCGACGCCGCGUGAGGGAUGAAGGUCUUCGGAUCGUAAACCUCUGUCAGCAGGGAAGAACGGUCACUGUGCUAAUCAGCAGUGAAUUGACGGUACCUGCAAAGGAAGCACCGUCUAACUCCGUGCCAGCAGCCGCGGUAAUACGGAGGGUGCGAUCGGUAAUCGUAGUUACUGGACGUAAAGCGCUCGUAGGUGGUAUG